UAGUUUUAUUUAUUUAUUUUAUUUAAUAAUAAAAGAUAAUAAAUUUCAAACUGAACCAAUCAUAUUAAUAAGUACGUAUGCAACUAUGCAUAUAAAUACAUUUAUAUAACACGUAGGCUAUAGAAGUAUUAUACGUAAUCCAAUAAUAAGACUGUACAAUAAUACAGUUAGAUCAUCCAAUAGUUUUUUUUAUUUAAUGUACUUAUAAAAGACAAUGAAUUUCAAACUGAAGUUACUGAACCAAUCAUAUUUUUAUUAUAAGUACAUAUGCAUAUACAUUUAUAUAAUACUUAUAGAAGUAGCUUUUUUUAACACAGUGCCUCUCCCUCUGCCAAUCUGACCCCUUCACGUGACUGACUGUCACUGCCUGCACUUUCAACUGUCCUCACGGCUGCUGUAACUAUCACUUUAGUAAUCUAUUAUAAAACAAAAAGAGGACAAAAAGCUCAUAUUGUCUUUGUGCAUAUAGGGGGUUUUCACAACGCGUCAUCAGAGCGAAAGAUGCCAUAUUGGAGGCACUCCGCAUCACAACAGAGCACAGGCACUGAAGUAUAUCCCGAACGUCGUCAAGGAAAAUGGUUAAUUAUUGCCUUGUUUGAGGUUGUACCAAUAGGACACAUGGGCUGCGUUUACACUUGGCAUUAACAUGCGACCUGUAUCCGGAUGUUGUCCAAAUACACAUUGAAAAGACAAGUGUAAACGCGUUUGUGUUCGGAAUGUUAUCCGGUCUGUGUGUCCUGAUGCAGAGGUAGUCGAGGACGCUUUGUGAUCGGAUCUUAGUGUAAUGUAAACGCAAUCCAGCCAUCCUAUCUGCAUUUGCAGGCCAACGUCACACAAAUCCCCGCCCACUAUCAUCUCAUCUCACUGACAGCUGUCAAAAAUAAAGGACGUUAGGUCAUGGAGCGCAGGUGAGAGACGCACAAAUUUAUAUUUGUGGAGAAAUGCAGCUUAAACGUAUCUUGAAAUAAAUCGAUAUACAAAAGCAUUUUAACACUGUUGACUGUAUUUAACUUAUUCAGUCAUAUGUUUAACAUGUUUCCACUAUUUAUGGAGGGAUUUAAUAUUUAAUGGCAGAAUUGAAUAAAUGGUUAUAAUGUUUGAGUUUCCAUGGCGACAUAUCAACGUAAAUGUUGCGCUUCUUUCUGGUUAGUCAGCAGUUUCUAUCUCAUUUAACACAUUUUAAGUUACUUGAAAACACUUACAAACCAUAAUAACAAUAACCCAGUGGGGAACCUUCAGGGCCUUCUACGCCUUCAGAGAAGGCCUAAAAAAAUUAAUAAAAAUAUUUUUAUUAUAAUAAUACAAAUAAAUAAUAUUCAAUAAAAAUAUGUUUUUACAUUUUUAAAUUUCUAUUUAAUUCAAUUUAAUACAAUACAUGUAAUAUAUUUUCUCUCAUCUAUGUUCUAACGUUAAGUUUACUGUCAGGUUCAUGUCAUGAAAACAUCUAAUCCAAUCAGAAUCGUCUGUCUCUAUUAAGGCCCGGUUAUCUGGCUCAUUCAUUGGUUAGGACUUCAUGAAUCCCAGGGAAGGCCAAGCUAUGUGUUUUGGUGUGGAGAGUGACGGGCAAAUCGACCAAUCACGUUUUGAUUUCAAGUGGGCGGGCAAAAAACAAUACAUUGUAAGCCUUCAUGAAGUCCUAAUCAUGCAACAAACUGGAUGCGAGCUGCCGUAAAACACCAAAGACGAAGAUCAUAGACCGUUAAUAUUAAUACAGUCUAAUGGCCCGAAUCUCUGCGGUGAGAGUGGUUGAGGUAAAUGGCGGAAAACGUGAUUGACGUUGUAGCUAUUUUGAUAGGGCUGAGGUAACAACGAAAUUACUUAAGCGCGUACACGUGAAGAGCACAGCCGGGAGAAGCGCGUGCAGAGGAGACUGUAGCCGUUUCCCAAUGUCAAGGAAGGAUCCUCGGAAGCUAGAAUUUCGAGGAUGCUACGUCAUCGACGUCCGUCGAAGGACUGUUCCAAUGUCGAGGAUCCUCGAAAUUUCAGCCAAGGACUGAGUCCUUCGUUCGACAAAUAUCCCAUAUACAGGAAAGGAUGCAAAUUUGUAUCCUUCGCGCUCUUCACGCGCUGAAAUCACCCACAAUCCUCUGCGCGCAGCACCGAAAGCACACCUUCCAAUCACGUAAUGACGUAAUGACGUGCACUUGCUAGCCUGUUCCAUUUAACGUGUUCUCCGAAUGCUUAAAAGGAGCCUCGCCUCGUCUCUGAAGGAAGUGACUUGUAAGGACUAGUCCUGCCAAGGAAGUAUCCUUGACAUUGAGAAACGGCUUGUGCAUAUGACGCGAACACGAGAAAAAUAAUGGGUUUAAUUAUACUUUUACUUCCUGACAGUUUCACUUGUUACGUGAGGAUAGUAAUGACUGACAGACGACGCCGAAUUACAUACAAUAUAAUUUCCUAACUAAAUCUGAGAGAAUGCGAAAACAUUCAAAUAUUUUUUACCUCGCUAUACCCGAUGGUCAGGGCGGAGACACAUUUUGGUAGCCCGACAAGAAUUCGUAAUAGCCCCGGGACCUCGGGGCUCGGGCUAGAGAUUUUGCGAGCCCUGGAUAUCUUAUGACAACAGUUAUAAGCCACAAGGAGGUGCACUGAGAACGCAGGGUGCUAUAUUUCCCCUUAUGAAAAAGAUUAACAAGGUAUCCUACAGCUAAAUAUAUAUUUCCAAAAAAUAAAAAACAAAUUAAAGAAAAUAAUUUAAGAUGGUUAAAUGCAAAUUUACAGAGCCCCUGUCAUUACAGAGCAGCAGAAUCUGUAUUUGUGUUUAUCAGUUAGAUUAAAUUAAUUUUAAACUUUAAAACUGCAUUUUAAGGCAGACAAUGCCCAUUCUGUAAUUCAACUUUGCGUGAUCAGAAUUUUUACACAUUCACUGUAUGAUUUAACGAAAUACGAAUAGCCUAGUAUUAUGGAUGGAGAGGCAUUUGCACGUCAUUGCAUAUUUUGAAGGCCCAGCUGAAGUACCCACGGUUCGCCACUGCAAUAACCAAAUACAUUUAUUCAAUGUUGGUUUUAUACAAAGUAAGUUACUUAUAAAUGUGUUUGUAAAUUACAUAACUAUACGACUAGAGGGAGACAUGAACAGGAAAUUUAGGAAAUUGUUAGCUGUUUUAGUUAAAUCAUAAAUCAAAAACGUAUGAAUUCGGGCAGACUAAAAAGUCGGGAAGGUCAUCCUAAUGUUUCACACGGAUUUUGUUGUUGAUGAAAAGCAUGCGGGUGAAAGUCAAGUUCAGGUAACGUUGGCUGAAUCCUGGCGCUGACGUUGCAGAUAAACAAAGAUAAAGCCUUUAAAGCUAAAAAAAAAUAAAGCUUAAAAUGUGCACAUCACGGUUUUUGGGUUUGCUAGUUAUUCUCUGCUGUUUGCUUCUCACUGUACAAUACGGGAUUUCGGUUACCGCGACAACCCUAAAUCGUGGCGAAAGACAGCUGUAGCCAUCUGUGAUUGACAGCUAUCCACCCAGCGCGCGUCUCCCUGAACGGGAUCCGAUCAGAUACAGAAGCCACAUUUAUGUGACAAAUGUAAACGCGCCGUGUCCUGAUAUACGGAUGAUCGGAUCUGCGUAAACGGAUCACCGAGGGCCUUUUUACACCUGGUCACUUCAUGUGUUUUCUCUGAUCGGAUAGUCAUCUGAUUUGUUAAGACUGUUCCAUUUACAUUUGGCCACAUAAAUGCGUCUUGGCAAAACGAAUAUGAAUCUGAUCUUUUUUCCCCCGCCCAAAAUGCAAAUACACUAUUUAUUACUCCGCCUUAAAAAACUUAAGAUGACGUUUACGCAACAAUAUGCAGCACUUACUGUAUGUUGUACUGAAUGUUGGGCAGGGGACGCGCGUCUCCUUGCUCGGCAUGAGCUGAUGCUCGCAGUACAGCGCAGCAGGAGAGUGACAGCGCGAUGAUUUAAUGCAGGUCCAUGACGGGAAAAGCAUUCACAAAACUCUCUCUUAACGUUAUAUUUCUUUGUUUAAUAUCAUUUGAAUUUGUCAUUAGACUCUUUUAUUGAUUCUAGGAAGCUUUUUUACCCGCUGUCAUCUCUCCAUAAAGCAAUAGGCGUGUCAGCUAUGUUUGUUUGGCGCUCUUCCAGCUUACUUGCGAGUGACGUGCUGACGUUUGGGAGGAGUAAAGCGCGACUUAUGUGGUUUCAUCAACCAGAUGCAUUUACACUUCUCUGAAAUGCGUCCCAGACCACCUCCUGAAGUGGUUUGAGCGAUCGGAUUUAAAUCCGUCUCUAAAUCGUUUCAGAGGGCAUUUACACCUGGUCUUUUUACGAUCAGAUAGCUAUCCGAUCAGAGAAAACGCAUGAAGUUACCAGGUGUAAAAAGCCCCCAAGAUCGCAUGUUAAUGCAAAAUGUAAACGCAGCCAUGGAGAAAAACAUUUGAAAUAUUAUCGACUUCCAAAAGUUAUUAAAGGAAUGCAAGAAAUUAUCAGAGGAGGCGCUUGUGGUUGUCAAAGCUCAGGAAAAAGAGUAGUAUUGUAUUAGAAAUAUGAUUGAUAUACAUAACGUAUAAAACAAUUAUGCUUCUACUUGUUGUGCUUUAUUUAAAGAGUAUUAAAGAGCACCUAUUAUGGGAUACACGUUUUUAAACAUCCUUUUGUGUGUAAGUGUGCAUUAGUACAUGCUAACGAUAUUCAAAAAGUACAUACCUCAAAGAAAACGAUGACGCGAGUUAUCAUCUCUAACGUUCGAGGACUACAAAAAACACUCGGAUUGUAGGCAACAGUUUACUUCCUGGGAUUAGUGACGUAGAUAAGACCAACAUUAUCUUAUGCUGCGUUCCAGGCAACCUGUAACCCGUAACUCACGACUUCAAAACCACGACUCACGACUUUGAACUGGGAGUACAUCGAUCUAGUACGAGUUCACGGGUGGGAAGUCACGGGUUUGACUGCCUUUCCAGUGCACUUUCACCGGUAGAAGGUUGUAAAAACACGAGUUACAGGCUGCCUGGAACGCAUAGGGUCGUGAGUCGUGGUUUUGAAGUCGUAACUCACGGGUUUAAAAACCUGCCUGGAACGCACCAAUAGUUCAGCCCUCUCUGCUUUGCUUGGGUACGCCCUCAAAGACGGGGGUGGGGAGCGCCGAGUCAGAAGAGAGCUAAAAUGGCGGAGGUUGUGAGUCCCUGCUUUGACUCUGUUUGCAAACUCUUGUUUCAUUGUUUAAGCGAUUAAAUCUCUCGAGUAGACGCUGUCUCUUUAGAUGCGAGGGCAAAAUAGCACUUUAUGGACUUCCACAGAGGACAUCAUGUUUAAUACGGUUCCGGAAAAAUCCAGUCAGAAGUUGUUCACGGCGUUUUCACAAUAACUGCUUCUCAUGAACCGAAGCUGGAUUUGCGCGACGUCUCCUCUUGAAAGUUGGAUUACUGUGCACUUCUGGAUCACAGACUGUAAGUAUUCAUGUUUAUUAUUUGCCUUUUACUGUACAUUACGUAACCGGUAACCGGAGAUUAACAUAAUGUGCGUGUAGAGUUAAAGAGCACCUAUUAUGGGAUACACGUUUUUUAACAUCCUUUUGUGUGUAAGUGUGUAUUAGUACAUGCUAACGAUAUUCAAAAAGUACAUACCUCAAAGAAAACGAUGACGCGAGUUAUCAUCUCUAACGUUCGAGGACUACAAAAAACACUCGGAUUGUAGGCAACAGUUUACUUCCUGGGAUUAGUGACGUAGAUAAGACCAACAUUAUCAUAGUUCAGCCCUCUCUGCUUUGCUUGGGUACGCCCUCAAAGACGAGGGUGGGGAGCGCCGAGUCAGAUGAGAGCUAAAAUGGCGGAGGUUGUGAGUCCCUGCUUUGACUCUGUUUGCAAACUCUUGUUUCAUUGUUUAAUUAAAUCUCUCGAGUAGACGCUGUCUCUUUAGAUGCGAGGGCAAAAAAGCACUUUAUGGACUUCCACAGAGGACAUCAUGUUUAAUACGGUUCCGGAAAAAUCCAGUCAGAAGUUGUUCACGGAGUUUUCACAAUAACUGCUUCUCAUGAACCGAAGCUGGAUUUGCGCGACGUCUCCUCUUGAAAGUUGGAUUACUGUGCACUUCUGGAUCACAGGCUAUUCGCAGCUGGACACAUCCUUCUACACUGUUUGCAAACAUGCAACAUCAUUACACACAGUACAAGGAGUCAGACUGGCAUAUGAGGAGCAAAGGAACCCAGGAAGUAGCAUCGUUUCACAAUGUUUCCAUCACCAUCAUCAGUGGAUGCCUUUGCUGUCCGUAGCCUGAGAUUUCAGAUUUGCAGCAAAAAAAAAAAUUAUUUUCUCAUUUAUUGGAAUGCUGUGCAGGUUGUACCUUGCAGCCAUCCAUUACAAUGUCACCAAGCCGUAACAAAAGCAGGAGAGGGAAAGUACAAGGCUAUGUUCCCAAAACACACAAGUGACAUACCUUAUGUGGAGGAUGUGAUCAGGCUUGUGUUUGAUGAGGUAUUUGAAGAUAAGCUGAAGGAAGCCCCGAUUCCAAUGGACCUGGCAUCACAGUUUGAGAGACCUUCAAAGGAGGACGUGAUUGCAUGCCAUCUUCAGUGCAGGGGUCGUCGAAAGCCAAAAUUGUGACCGAUCUGAUCAGGAAGCUCCAAGCGUAUCUGGAGAACAACACACAACAGGAUGAUAACCUUAUAGUGUCGUCUUAAAUAGCACCAGCUGACAAAGCUUUGAUAUGCCAUUUAUCUGAAUAGAUAGCUGUAAGAAAUGAAUUGAAAAAUUUUUGAAAGAAGAGCACAAUAUGGUUACUAAAGUAUGUUUAUUUGUAUAUUGUUUAACAUUUAAAUAUAUAUUUGUAAUAAAUAAAAAAAACUUUUGACUGACUAUUAUAUUUUCUUUAAAGUUACAUCUUUUGUUCUUUUGGGUACUUUGUUACUAUAAUGAUACUUAAGUGUUAUUGGUUUAAAAAUGUAA
Long non-coding RNA from Paramisgurnus dabryanus, 6868 nucleotides. RefSeq lists it as uncharacterized. The record is from RefSeq and is a predicted model, not a curated record. Lineage: Eukaryota; Metazoa; Chordata; Actinopteri; Cypriniformes; Cobitidae.